AGGGUUUGAUUCUGGCUCAGAUUGAACGCUGGCGGCAUGCUUUACACAUGCAAGUCGAACGGCAGCGCGGGGAGCUUGCUCCCUGGCGGCGAGUGGCGCACGGGUGAGUAAUACAUCGGAACGUGUCUUCUAGUGGGGGAUAACUGCCCGAAAGGGCAGCUAAUACCGCAUGAGACCUGAGGGUGAAAGCGGGGGAUCGCAAGACCUCGCGCUGGAAGAGCGGCCGAUGUCCGAUUAGCUAGUUGGUGAGGUAAAGGCUCACCAAGGCGACGAUCGGUAGCUGGUCUGAGAGGACGACCAGCCACACUGGGACUGAGACACGGCCCAG
This 328-nucleotide ribosomal RNA is filed under the name uncultured bacterium. RNAcentral describes it as "bacterial SSU rRNA". It matches the Rfam family "Bacterial small subunit ribosomal RNA", at positions 8 to 334 of the family's 1533-position model. The record is from RNAcentral.